This 113-nucleotide ribosomal RNA is filed under the name Bacteroidales bacterium. Lineage: Bacteria; Pseudomonadati; Bacteroidota; Bacteroidia; Bacteroidales. The record is from RNAcentral.
UAAGGCGGUUAUAGCGGUGAGGAUCCACCUCAAACCAUUCCGAACUGAGAAGUUAAGCUCACUUGCGCCGAUGAUACUGCGAUACCAUGUGGGAAAGUAGGAAGCCGCCGUCU